GGGCACGUGGGCCUUACAGGUUAAUUUUGGGCUUUAGAACACCUACUAAUGAACACAAAGGCAGAGGUGCCAAUGUCAAGCUGAACCAGAACGGUUGGAGAGCCCCAGGACCCAGAAGAGCCGCCCGCAGUAGCCCCACCAACCCAGGGUGUUCUCAGAAUUCCUCUCCCCACAUCCAGCCCUAUGAAACUUUUAGCAUCUGCCUCUUCCCCUCAAUCCUUGGAGUGGGGGGAAAUCUCAGUGAAGAAGAUGGAUCUCCCAUCCUCUUGACUGGCAGAGGCUCCCAGAGGACCCAAGCACAGCGGGAAAGAGGACUCUGAAUUUCUUGAUCAAAGAAUAUGAGGUAUUGCAUUCAUGUGGCCAUAAAGGUUGAGCUCAUUCCAAAUGCUCUCUCUCCCCUCCCUGACUCAGUCCAGCCUCCCUACCAAAUCUACUCUCUGGUGAUACUUAAUAAAGAUACCGUCCUCCUUGGGGGGAAACGGAGUUGAAAGAGCUGA
Molecule: long non-coding RNA, 497 nt
Filed under: Rattus norvegicus (Norway rat)
Lineage: Eukaryota; Metazoa; Chordata; Mammalia; Rodentia; Muridae
Description: long non-coding RNA NONRATT028458
Source: RNAcentral